RNAcentral lists this ribosomal RNA (253 nucleotides) under uncultured bacterium. Its description in RNAcentral is "partial 16S ribosomal RNA". It matches the Rfam family "Bacterial small subunit ribosomal RNA", at positions 524 to 776 of the family's 1533-position model. The record is from RNAcentral.
UACGUAGGGUCCGAGCGUUGUCCGGAAUUAUUGGGCGUAAAGGGCUCGUAGGCGGUUUGUCACGUCGGGCGUGAAAACUCAGGGCUCAACCCUGAGCGUGCUUCCGAUACGGGCAGACUAGAGGUAUGCAGGGGAGAACGGAAUUCCUGGUGUAGCGGUGGAAUGCGCAGAUAUCAGGAGGAACACCGGUGGCGAAGGCGGUUCUCUGGGCAUUACCUGACGCUGAGGAGCGAAAGCAUGGGGAGCGAACAGG